AGUGGAAAACUGGGUCAAAUGGUGGUUCUGUACCUAAUUUUUUGAGGAAUCUUCAUACUGCUCUACAGAGUGGUUGCACCAUUUUCAGUCCUACCAGCAAU
RNAcentral lists this microRNA precursor (101 nucleotides) under Marmota monax (woodchuck). Lineage: Eukaryota; Metazoa; Chordata; Mammalia; Rodentia; Sciuridae. The record is from RNAcentral.